Molecule: long non-coding RNA, 1911 nt
Organism: Alexandromys fortis (reed vole)
Lineage: Eukaryota; Metazoa; Chordata; Mammalia; Rodentia; Cricetidae
Exons: 3
Source: RefSeq, a predicted model, not a curated record
CGCCUGGUCUCCCUUAUUCCUGGGGUGCAUUGGCGGGGACAGUUUGUUAUCAGUUAACUAAGCUUCCUGUGUGUUUCCGUGCUAUCCCUGCCCCACCUGGUGAUUUAGCUGCAGGCAAUCUUCUCCAUUGUUAAUAUGGUAAUUUCCCACCUUCCUGGGCGGAGAGAUCUUUGUGCUGCAGUUAGGUAGAAAAGGGCUUCCCCAAGUCUGAAUAAACGGCAUUCGCUUGAUCUCCUAUCGAAUGACCCUGGUCUCUGUCUCUUGUGUUCAAUCUCCAGGCCCUUGCCCGGACUCGCAUUCGGUACAGCUGCGCGCGAACUGUACCGAGGGUGUAACACCAAAACCGGGUGUUACAAUUGGAGGCCCCGCUGGGAUGAUCAUCUUCGGCAACUAGACCCAGCGAGAUCGGGAAGUAGGAAAUCCCUGAGAGGUCGCCCUCGGGAAGACUGGCCAGCAAGGCCCUUGCCCGGACUCGCAUUCGGUACAGCUGCGCGCGAACUGUACCGAGGGUGUAACACCAAAACCGGGUGUUACACUCAGAAGUAACAACUCAUGUGCAUUGCAGAAGCAAUAACUGAGACCUCAAGGCAGGAGGAUGAGAAAACCCGGUCUCAGGGGAACCAGAGACUGGAGGGAUGCAGACAGACAGCACAUUCUGCAGCCUGCCUAUUCUGAACCACAGCCUUCCUAACUGUGUACGCUAGCUGGGCAGCCAGGACGAAAAGAGCCCUCUCCUCUUCCUGUAACAUUUCUGCAGAAGCAAAACCCACUGAGAACAAAAUACCACAUCGCACUGUGACAAUACCUAUUGCAGCCAACCCACUGCAAAAGGAACCAGGACCAAAGGAACACCCUGACUUAUCAGGACUUUACAGACUUGUCAAAAAUCUAAAAAGGUUUUGUGGUUGUUGUUUAUUGAUUAUGUGUAUGGGUACCAAGUGUGUGUGUGGUUCUUAAGAAAGCCAGAAGAGGGCAUGAGAGCCUCUGGGACUUGAUGCCAGAAGACUGUGAGAUACCAUGUGGGGUGCUAGGAAUCAAAUACCAUCUAGAGUUUUAAUAACAAAUUUUAAACUGCAGCUUUAUGCUUCUUAGGUUUUGCAGACAAGGUCUCACUAUGUACCCCUAGCUAACCUGAAACUCACUAGUAUACCAAGCUGGCUUGGAACGUGGGAAAUCUGCUUCCCUCUGCCUUCCGUGUAAUGGGAAUAAAAGAGUGUGCCACCAUGCCUGGGCUUAUGCUGUUUUAAAAGAAUGCUUUUAUUUUGAAAGAAAUUUACAUAUAAACUCAUUGAGCUGAAUAUCUGAGAAAAUGGUUUAAUUUUUCUGACAUUUCCUAGAAAUUUUGCUCUUAAGAUGACCUUUCCUGCCAGGCGAUGGUGGUGCACGCCUUUAAUUUCAGCACUUCGGAUGCAGAGGCAGGUGGAUCUUAGUGAGUUAGAGGCCAGUCUGGUCUAUAAAGCAAGUUUCAGGACAGACAGAACUCUUACACAGAAAAAAACCUUGUCUUGAAACUCCCCAUUCCAAAAAAAAAAAGAAAAAAAAAGAAAAAGGCCUUUCUUUCUGCGAAACCAUACACUCUCAUAUCCCCAUGGAAAGCCAUUUUCACAAAAACAACAAAUAAACACCCCAAAACAAAAAACAUUACAUUCAGGUCAAAUACAAGACAUCUACUGUACCCAGCGCAUAGGUCUGCAAUCCCAGCUACUCAGGGGGCAAAGGAAAGGAUCACAAACUCAUGGCCUGCUUGGAUGGUAAGUGGGGUCAAGGACAUCCUUGGCAACUUAGCAAGAACUUCACUCAAAACAAAAGGCAAGAGUGUGGUAAAGGUACAGCUUCACAGCAGAGUGCGUGCUCAGAAUAUAAGCAGGGUGUAAGUUCCAGCCUGGGAAGAGAGGACCUUGCGGGGAAGAA